Molecule: ribosomal RNA, 441 nt
Filed under: uncultured bacterium
Lineage: Bacteria
Description: partial 16S ribosomal RNA
Rfam family: Bacterial small subunit ribosomal RNA
Source: RNAcentral
CCUACGGGCGGCAGCAGUGGGGGAUAUUGCACAAUGGGGGGAACCCUGAUGCAGCGACGCCGCGUGGGUGAAGGAGUGCUUCGGCAUGUAAAGCCCUAUCGGCAGGGAAGAAGCAAGACGGUACCUGACUAAGAAGCCCCGGCUAACUACGUGCCAGCAGCCGCGGUAAUACGUAGGGGGCGAGCGUUAUCCGGAUUCACUGGGUGUAAAGGGAGCGUAGACGGCCAUGCAAGCCAGGGGUGAAAGCCCGGGGCCCAACCCCGGGACUGCCCUUGGAACUGCAUGGCUGGAGUGCGGGAGGGGCAGGCAGAAUUCCUGGUGUAGCGGUGAAAUGCGUAGAUAUCAGGAGGAACACCGGCGGCGAAGGCGGCCUGCUGGACCGCGACUGACGUUGAGGCUCGAAAGCGUGGGGAGUGAACAGGAUUAGAUACCCUUGUAGUC